AGAGUUUGAUCAUGGCUCAGGACGAACGCUGGCGGCGCGCCUAACACAUGCAAGUCGAACGAGAGAUGAGGAGCUUGCUUUUCAAAUCGAGUGGCGAACGGGUGAGUAACGCGUGAGGAACCUGCCUCAAAGAGGGGGACAACGAGUUGGAAACGACUGCUAAUACCGCAUAAGCCCACGGCUCGGCAUCGAAGCGAGGGGAAAAGGAGUGAUCCGCUUUGAGAUGGCCUCGCGUCCGAUUAGCUAGUUGGUGAGGUAAUGGCCCACCAAGGCGACGAUCGGUAGCCGGACUGGAGAGGUUGAACGGCCACAUUGGGACUGAGACACGGCCCAGACUCCUACGGGAGCA
Molecule: ribosomal RNA, 349 nt
Filed under: uncultured bacterium
Lineage: Bacteria
Description: bacterial SSU rRNA
Rfam family: Bacterial small subunit ribosomal RNA
Source: RNAcentral